Molecule: long non-coding RNA, 817 nt
Organism: Choloepus didactylus (southern two-toed sloth)
Lineage: Eukaryota; Metazoa; Chordata; Mammalia; Pilosa; Megalonychidae
Exons: 4
Source: RefSeq, a predicted model, not a curated record
CCGGCUCGCCGACUCCGGGGGGCAUGUCGCAACUGCGUGGCGCUGGGGUCUUGCCCGAGGAGAGAUGGGGUUCGUUCUGAGGAAAACUGUGACUUGAGGUCAGCUGCCCAAUGUCUGAAUAGUUCCAGUCAUUAGGUACCAGGCCUCGUCUCACAGAAAUGAGGCCGGCACAGCCUUUCUGUACUGUAAAGAGAUCGGUGGAAGGAGCCGUGAGUGCAUGAAGAGCGUGAUAUUCAAGAGCCUGAAAAAAAGGAGUAGGGGUCUCCCAGAAGAAGAAAACAGUCUUGGUGUAUAUAUUUGGUGUUUUUCCUUCUGCAAGUAUAGAGGCUCUUUUGAGGGAAAAAAGUUCAACUUGCUGGGCUGACAUGGCAUUAGAACCCAGCACCAUGCUACAGAGAAGCCUGUGAGUAGCUCUUCUGGCCAACAGUCCCAGCUGAGGUCCCAGCCAAAGCCAGCAUCAACCCUCAGACAUGGGGUGAGGAAGCCAUCCCCAACCAUUGUCUAACUGCAACCACAUGAAACCCCAGGUGCUGUUACUUGGGCCCCCCAGAACCCAGACUUGUGGCAACACAACUACUUCCACAUACCUCUUGAAAGGAUGGGUCAGAUGGCUCUAGAAAGAUUUGGAAGAGAAAUGCAAACCUUUUCCCAAGAAGAUUCUUCCAGCGUUAAACUGGGGAACUUGAAUCUGCAACCAAGUCCAAGGAUCAACUGCUGGACCAGCAAGGGAGAGAAAGGUGGGGAUCAGAAGUGGGAGAUGUCCAGGAAUGGACCAAGAGGCGAGGAGCCAGACAGGCAUGUGAGCUGAGGUGCCAAG